RNAcentral lists this ribosomal RNA (443 nucleotides) under uncultured bacterium. RNAcentral describes it as "partial 16S ribosomal RNA". It matches the Rfam family "Bacterial small subunit ribosomal RNA", at positions 338 to 795 of the family's 1533-position model. The record is from RNAcentral.
CCUACGGGCGGCAGCAGUAGGGAAUAUUGGACAAUGAGGGGAACCCUGAUCCAGCGACGCCGCGUGAGUGAAGAAGUAUUUCGGUAUGUAAAGCUCUAUCAGCAGGGAAGAAAGAAAUGACGAUACCUGACUAACAAGCCCAGGCUAACUACGUGCCAGCCGCCGCGGUAAUACGUAGGAGGCAAGCGUUAUCCGGAUUUACUGGGUGUAAAGGGAGCGUAGAUGGCGAUGCAAGUCUUAAGGGAAAGGCGGGGGACAAAACCCUGGACUGCUUUGGAAACUGGAAGGCUGGAGUGCAGGAGAGGUAAGUGGAAUUCCUAGUGGAGCGGUGAAAUGCGUAGAUAUUAGGAGGAACACCAGUGGCGAAGGCGGCUUACUGGACUGUAACUGACGUUGAGGCUCGAAAGCGUGGGGAGCAAACAGGAUUAGAUACCCUAGUAGUC